This 465-nucleotide ribosomal RNA is filed under the name Vreelandella stevensii. RNAcentral's name for it is "partial 16S ribosomal RNA". It matches the Rfam family "Bacterial small subunit ribosomal RNA", at positions 338 to 795 of the family's 1533-position model. Lineage: Bacteria; Pseudomonadati; Pseudomonadota; Gammaproteobacteria; Oceanospirillales; Halomonadaceae. The record is from RNAcentral.
CCUACGGGUGGCUGCAGUGGGGAAUAUUGGACAAUGGGGGCAACCCUGAUCCAGCCAUGCCGCGUGUGUGAAGAAGGCCCUCGGGUUGUAAAGCACUUUCAGUGAGGAAGAACGCCUGGUGGUUAAUACCCAUCAGGAAAGACAUCACUCACAGAAGAAGCACCGGCUAACUCCGUGCCAGCAGCCGCGGUAAUACGGAGGGUGCGAGCGUUAAUCGGAAUUACUGGGCGUAAAGCGCGUGUAGGUGGCUUGAUAAGCCGGUUGUGAAAGCCCCGGGCUCAACCUGGGAACGGCAUCCGGAACUGUCAAGCUAGAGUGCAGGAGAGGAAGGUAGAAUUCCCGGUGUAGCGGUGAAAUGCGUAGAGAUCGGGAGGAAUACCAGUGGCGAAGGCGGCCUUCUGGACUGACACUGACACUGAGGUGCGAAAGCGUGGGUAGCAAACAGGAUUAGAUACCCCAGUAGUC